CCUCUGUUGGCUCUCCAGGUGGUCAAAUAAAGGUGCAGAAAAGCAAACAGCCCUUUGCCCAGCACUCCUUCUUUAAUAAAUCACUGCUUAGUUCCUGUAGAAGAUUCCAGACUUUGGAAAUACUCACUGGAAAUUUACCCUAAUUAUCUAUUUAAAAAUGGCUUUCUAAACAGAGUGCUGAGAUAAGAUGGCCCAUCUCCGUGUUUAAGCAUUUCUAAAGUCUCGUUUGUUUAUCAACACGCCCACAAGCUAUGAAGCUACUAAGUUGAUCUUUGAACAACAUGAGUUUGACCUGCAUGGAUCCACAUAUACGUGAAUUUCCUUCCGCCUCUACCACUCCUGAGACAGCGAGACAAACCUCUCCUCUUCCUCUUCCUCUUCCUCCUCAGCCUACUCAGUGUGAAGACCUUUAUGAUGAUCCAUGUCCACUGAAUGAAUAGACCUCACGAAGCCAGACCGUAAGAUCUACAGGGGCUCUCAGACACCACCCCAUCCAACAGCUCGAAGAAGGAACCAGAGAAGACUAGAAACAGGAUGGAACGGGAAGGUGGAGGGAGAGGCGAAGGGGAAGUCUCGAUGCUGACUACAAGGCCCCCUCAUCCUCCGGCCUCCGGCUUGCAGGGACUGCCCCUGCCUUGGGAGAGUCCUCACAGGCCACACCUGCCACUGGGCCAGGCCCAGAGCAGACACUCACGACAGAUGAUAAGAAUGACAGCUGCCUGCGUUUGAGCAGGCACUCUAGGUGACUGUUGUACACAGUGCUUUUCAAGCAUAAUCUACCCUAACCUUCACACCAGCCCUGUGGGGUAGGUGAAUCUCACCCCAUCUUACAGAGGAGGAAACAGGGGUUUGGAGUGGUUGAGUGACUUGCUGUCAGACAAGUCUAAAUCUGACAGCAACGCCUGUGUUUGGAUCCCAUGCCAGAGACUGCGAGCUAGCCCCAGGCUGGUUCCAGGCUGUACACAGGUUUCACUUGAUUCACACACAUGGGGCCUCCUCAGAGUUUUAAAUUUUAUUUGUUGUCAACAUUUAGCAAUCAGAAGAGUUAACAUUAAAUCUCACAUUUCUGAAUUCUCUAGAAAAAUUAGGACAUCAGGCUCCACUGGGCUUAUGUUUCCUCCUGGGAAUAAUUGGCUGAGCUGGGUAGCAGCUGACCCCUUUACAUCAGACUCUUCUGCCUUGUUUGCCCCAGCCCUCACCACUCCCUAUUGUACCUCCAACACCAAAGACAAGAAUCAAAGGCCACUUUUCACCCCCUUCCUGGUCCACUCCAUUCACUCAUGGUAUCCACGUAGCCCUGUGAGCAGGGGUUUGUGACUCUGCCACUAAGCUAUAUGGCUUCAUGGAUGGAUGGAUGAGGGGAGGGAAAGACAGAAGGAUGGGAAGGGCUGGGGAGAUUUCAGCUGCCUGCUCAGGAAGUACCUAUGGACAAUGCCCAGCAUCCUACAGCCAGCUCACCAACCCCUAACUGUGCUGCAGGACUGCAGGAUGCCUGUCCUGACAAGUUGGCCUGCUCAUCCUCUUCCCCCGAAACCCAGGCCCUGAGAGUCCCCAGCAGCAUGAAGGCCUCACCCUUCGUGCAGCGAUCCAUCGGUCACCACCUAGGGCAGAGCAGGCCCACCUUUGAUGCAGAAGAAAUGAGAUGAGGCGGGCAAGUGCCUGCCAGUGCCCAGUACAAGGUGGGAAGUCAGGGAAUCGUGAGCAUCAGAGAGGCCACGUGAGCAGUUGCCAUGCUGGCCCCUGAUGCUGGGGUGGGAGG
Molecule: long non-coding RNA, 1759 nt
Filed under: Homo sapiens (human)
Lineage: Eukaryota; Metazoa; Chordata; Mammalia; Primates; Hominidae
Description: HSALNT0305708
Source: RNAcentral